AGCCCAGACCCACAGCUAAGGUCCCCAAGUAUAGUUAAGUGGAAAAGGAUGUGGAGUUGCAUAGACAACCAGGAUGUUGGCUUAGAAGCAGCCACUCAUUAAAAGAGUGCGUAAUAGCUCACUGGUCGAGUGACUCUGCGCCGAAAAUUUAACGGGGCUAAACUAUACACCGAAGCUUGGGAUGUACCGCAAGGUAUAUGGUAGGAGAGCGUUCUGUAAGGGGCGAAGUCGUAGCGAAAGCAGCGGUGGACUUUACAGAAGUGAGAAUGCCGGAAUGAGUAGCGAGAAAUAUGUGAGAAUCAUAUUGGCCGAAAGUCUAAGGUUUUUGGAGGAAGGUUCGUCCGCUCCAAGUAAGUCGGGAGCUAAGGUGAGGCCGAAAGGCGUAGCCGAUGCACAUACGGUAGAUAUUCCGUAACCGUCGAAGAAUUAAAGCACAGGGACAUCUGAGGAAGACAUAACCCGGGCGUUGGUAGACCCGGGCGUAAGGGACCGAAAAUAAGUAGGGAAGUAUGUUGGAAUUAGGGCGAGAAAAGCUGUGUGUAAAUUCAAGAUGCCCGUACCGCAAACCGACACAGGUAGAUAGGAAGAGAAUUCUAAGGCCAACGGGAGAAGGGUAGUUAAGGAACUCGGCAAAUUGACCCCGUAACUUAGGGAAAAGGGGUGCUCACGAAGGUGAGCCGCAGAGAAUAGGCCCAGGCGACUGUUUAGCAAAAACACAGGUCUCUGCCAAAUCGAAAGAUGAAGUAUAGGGGCUGACACCUGCCCGGUGCUGGAAGGUUAAGAGGAAGUGUGCAAGCACUGAAUUGAAGCCCCAGUAAACGGCGGCCGUAACUAUAACGGUCCUAAGGUAGCGAAAUUCCUUGUCGGGUAAGUUCCGACCCGCACGAAUGGUGUAACGAUCUGGGCACUGUCUCAACUACCCGCCCGGCGAAAUUGUAGUACCGGUGAAGAUGCCGGUUACCUGCGACAAGACGGAAAGACCCCAUGGAGCUUUACUGUAGCUUAAUAUUGGGUUUCGAUAAUCUAUGUACAGGAUAGGCGGGAGACUUGGAAACUAGUGCGCCAGCAUUAGCGGAGUCACCCUUGGGAUACCGCCCUUAGAUUAUUGGAAUUCUAACCUGCGGCCAUGAAACUGGUCGGGGGACAUUGUUAGGUGGGCAGUUUGACUGGGGCGGUCGCCUCCGAAAAGGUAACGGAGGCGCUCAAAGGUUAGCUCAGCACGGACGGAAACCGUGCCUCUGAGUGUAAACGCAAAAGCUAGCCUAACUGCGAGGAUGACGGUCCGAGCAGUAACGAAAGUUGGAGUUAGUGAUCCGGCGGUAUGUGAAUGGAAAUGCCGUCGCUCAACGGAUAAAAGCUACCCUGGGGAUAACAGGCUGAUCUCCCCCAAGAGUCCACAUCGACGGGGAGGUUUGGCACCUCGAUGUCGGCUCAUCACAUCCUGGGGCUGAAUUCGGUCCCAAGGGUUCGGCUGUUCGCCGAUUAAAGUGGUACGCGAGCUGGGUUCAGAACGUCGUGAGACAGUUCGGUCCCUAUCUGUCGUGGGCGUAAGAUAUUUGAGGAGCUCUGUCCUUAGUACGAGAGGACCGGGAUGGACGCACCUCUGGUGCACCAGUUGUCACGCCAGUGGCACAGCUGGGCAGCUAAGUGCGGAUCGGAUAAACGCUGAAAGCAUCUAAGCGUGAAGCCGUCCUUAAGAUAAGAUAUCCCACUUUUAAGUUAAGACCCCUUGAAGACUACGAGGUUGAUAGGUCUACGGUGUAAGUUGUGUGAGCAAUUUAGCCUGCAGAUACUAAUCGGUCGAGGGCUUAAACCU
Molecule: ribosomal RNA, 1816 nt
Filed under: human gut metagenome
Description: bacterial LSU rRNA
Rfam family: Bacterial large subunit ribosomal RNA
Source: RNAcentral